AGCUUUGCGCAGUGGCAGUAUCGUAGCCAAUGAGGUUAAUCCGAGGCGCGAUUAUUGCUAAUUGAAAACUUUUCCCAUUCCUUUCCCUUCUCCCUCCGAUCCCCCUUUCCUGUCCCUGUUCAGGGACCCUUUCUCAUGAGAAUCUCUUAUGUCUGGAGGUACAUCAGCUCAUGGUGAUAGGAAUAAUAGAAGUGGUUCCACCA
Pelodiscus sinensis (Chinese soft-shelled turtle) is the source of this 203-nucleotide small nuclear RNA. Its record names the gene U4. It matches the Rfam family "U4 spliceosomal RNA". From Rfam's summary of the family: U4 small nuclear RNA (U4 snRNA) is a component of the major U2-dependent spliceosome. The record is from Ensembl. Lineage: Eukaryota; Metazoa; Chordata; Testudines; Trionychidae.